Molecule: long non-coding RNA, 246 nt
Filed under: Citrus x clementina
Lineage: Eukaryota; Viridiplantae; Streptophyta; Magnoliopsida; Sapindales; Rutaceae
Description: Citrus clementina (C. clementina) long non-coding RNA (CCLE_LNC004015)
Source: RNAcentral
AGUGAAAGGGCUUACCUAUAUUCCAUCCAGUGUUCGCUAAAUCAUAACAAAAAUAAGAUAACGGUGGGAGAAGGGAAUAUUCAAUACAUUUGGAAAUUGGGAAUAUUCAAUACAUUUGGAAAUUGGGAAUAUUCCAUACACUUGGAAAUUGCAAAGUAAUAUUUACUUAACAGAAAAGAUGUUCAAAGAAAAUUACAAUAUGUACAGAGAUUGAAGGUUGAAAUGGUUGAAGAUUGCACCCAACAU